GUGCUUCCCUCCCUCCUGCUCCCUUUCCCACCCUUCCCGGUGGAUGGUGGACGUGUGGCUUGUGUUCUGGGGAGAGAGGAAGCAGCCGGCAUUUGCCAGCCUGGCAGGUGGUAGCCCCUUGUGCCGUGGGAGGGAAGCCUGGAUGAGGGUGGGAGUCGGGGCUGGAAGGCCCAUGUCCCAGACAGCCUGCAUUCCUAAUGUGAGGGCUUAGAGCAAAGGGGUUUGACUGCUCCAGGGUGAGGAGAGAAAAGGUUGUGCAGUCCUAGACAGUGGUGAGCAGGGCAGGCCCGGACAGGACACUGAAGUGCAUGGUGUGAACAUGACAGGUGUUCAACGAGAGAGAGAGACAGAGACAGAGACAGAGAGAACACCAUCCUGGGGCCUGGGAGGCAGGAAAGAGACUCCGACCGCAGACGAGCACCGCGAUGUCCGGGUAGGGGAAGCUCCGCCCUUCCGCACCCCAUUUCUUUUGCCUCUCUGUGCCUUGGAGGCCCAGAGUAGGGCUGAGGUGUGGGGAGGUGCCAACAGUCCGCAAGUCACGAGGUAAACCCCAGCUUGGCCACUUGCCUGGCAGGGGCCCCACAGAAGUCCCUGCAUAUGAAUAGGUGCUUGUCCAAAUUCAUUCCAGCAGCAGCGCCUAUGGACGGGGAGGACAGGAGGAGCAGCCAUGGGGUGUGUGAGGAAGACAGAGCCCCGUCUCCAGGGAGCUGGAAACUUCCCGCAGGCACCACCAUGUGGGACCAGUUCACUGCUGGGAUCAGCAGACCCCUACGUUCCUGCUCUGCUGGAAGGAGGGCGCCCUGCCCGGUUUCCUCCCCGUGAGGGUUUCUGCUGUACCCCCAUCAUCUAUGUGAUGUCAUAUGCCCAGGACUCAAGAAGUGCUUUGAGAAUCGACAGGACUGACUGAGAUGAAGGAGUGGGCAUCCGGUCCUUCCAGGCCCCAGCUGGCUGUGUGAGCAUGGAUGAGUCCCCUCACCUUCCAGUGGCUCCAUUUCCAUGCCUCUUAAGUAAGGAUGUCAGGCUUGAUGCCUCUAAUGUUUGGGUAACUUUUAAGUUGAUUCAUGAACACGUCCCUUGACUUCCUUUUCUCUCCCAACAGCCACCACUGGGUGAGUCUCCCCCUUACAACUGGUCACACUUGUAAAGUCUAAUACCAUUAAUCUCAAAUGCCAAGGUCAUUAACUAGUCAGCACCUGAGGCCUUCAUCAACUCUGCUUCACCACCCUUUCUGGGGCUCCCUUGUUUUUCAUGAGUCCCCUGCCCACAGGCUCAAUUGGGAAGUCAUGGUAGACAUUGUUGCCUAGACCCAGCGCAUCCUCCUCACCUUGGGAGGGCACCAUGCCCGUUCUCAGCCACGAGGUAUGUGGCAGGGACUCCUGCUUCACAAUUUUGCUCAGUAUCAGAGCAGGAUACUCCCCCUGGCCCAUGGUGAUGUUUGCAGCAGAACUUUCAAUCUGUAUCUCGCAUUUCCUCCGAGCAGUGUAUGUCCUCUGGGUCCAGCUUCUCCAUUUGGUGUUAGGGGCAACUACUGAAUCAAUGGGAAGAAAAUAAAACACUGUGUUGUUACCUAUUGUAAGAACA
This 1581-nucleotide long non-coding RNA is filed under the name Felis catus (domestic cat). RNAcentral's name for it is "lncRNA (ENSFCAG00000049151.1)". The record is from RNAcentral. Lineage: Eukaryota; Metazoa; Chordata; Mammalia; Carnivora; Felidae.